CUUUUGAAAUAUCUACUGAAGUGCUGUCAUUCCCUAUUCCACUUUAUGUGAGCUGUUGCAGGCACGUUUUACCCACCGAGGCAUAGCACAGUGAUGCUGUGCCUUGAUCCUUUGCAGAGGCAUGCUAUGCUGUGCGGGAGGAGCUCCUUCUGCCUCUCUUCAGCCUCGGCCAGGCAGAGGACAUGAGGACUGACCCAGCCUGGGGAUGCAAGGACCCAGUACGUACCCCAUGAGAGGUUGGCCCCUCCAAAGUCCCUGCGGGAGCAUCGCCUCCCCACCGCUGCCCCGAGCACCAAGCUGCCCCCCAGCCCGCCUUGCUGGGCUUCCCCGAGGUGGUGCCAGAGCAGAGACUGCGGCCCCAGCUGUGGGCUGGAGGCUGGCCAGCGUGGAAGAAGCUGAUGACCCUGAGGACAGAUUUUUUAAAAAGCUUGAAAAGAUCUUGGAGCACAAGACCUGUUGCAAGGCAGAUUGCAAGGACUAUGACACACCCACUGUCCCAGAGGACUGACUAAAAGCUGAAGGAACAGCUGGUCUGCGUGCUGACCAGAGGAUCUGGGCCUCACAUCACUGUGUGUGAUCUUCUCAGGUUUUCCAGAAUGGAGAGAAGGCUCCUGGUACACAGCUCCACCACCCAACAACUCGCACCAGGCAGCACAGACCUGAGGAAUUUGUGAACUACUGCCACCAUGCAGAUGGGAGAAGGGCUGAAAGAUGAAUGUACAAUUAUUCUGCAGAAAUCCCUCAAAAUCAUAAUGGGCAUAAUUCACAAUAAAUUCCAGCUCCGCUCUGAACCCUGAACCCAGUAAUUAAAUGAUCUCUCCAUUUUAAAAAGAAGUCUAUACCCAUUGGGUACUUUAAAUAAUACCAUAAGUAAUGUAAAAUAAUUAUCUUAAAAAUGCAGCUGUGCUGCUAUUAGUUUUCUCCCCAGAAGUGUUUCAGGUUAGCUAGGAUGGC
Long non-coding RNA from Falco peregrinus (peregrine falcon), 954 nucleotides. RefSeq lists it as uncharacterized. The transcript has 3 exons. Lineage: Eukaryota; Metazoa; Chordata; Aves; Falconiformes; Falconidae. The record is from RefSeq and is a predicted model, not a curated record.